This 468-nucleotide ribosomal RNA is filed under the name uncultured bacterium. RNAcentral's name for it is "partial 16S ribosomal RNA". It matches the Rfam family "Bacterial small subunit ribosomal RNA", at positions 28 to 507 of the family's 1533-position model. The record is from RNAcentral.
GACGAACGCUGGCGGCGUGCUUAACACAUGCAAGUCGAACGGAAAGGCCCUGCUUUUGUGGGGUGCUCGAGUGGCGAACGGGUGAGUAACUCGUGAGUAACCUGCCCUUGCCUUUGGGAUAACUUCAGGAAACUGGGGCUAAUACCGGCUACGAGCUCCUGCUGCAUGGUGGGGGUUGGAGAGGUUCGGCGGCUGGGACUGGAGUCGCGGCUUAUCAGCUUGUUGGUGGGGUAGUGGCUUACCAAGGCUUUGACGGGUAGCCGGACUGAGAGGGUGACCGGGCACAUUGGGCCUGAGAAAGCAGCCAGACUGCUACGGGCGGAAGCGGUGGGAAAUAUUGCACACUGGGCGGAGGCAGGAAGGAGCAACGCCGCGUGGGGGAGGACUGCUUUCGGGUUGUAAACCGCUUUUGCCUGAGACGAAGCGUGAGUGACGGUAAUGGGUAAAGAAGCGCCGGCUAACUACGUG